ACGAUAUGCUUUGGGUAGCUGUAAGUAAGCGUUGAUCCAGAGAUUUCCGAAUGGGGGAACCCAACAUGAGUUAUGUCAUGUUAUCGACAUGUGAAUUCAUAGCAUGUCAGAAGGCAGACCCGGAGAACUGAAACAUCUUAGUACCCGGAGGAAGAGAAAGAAAAAUCGAUUCCCUGAGUAGCGGCGAGCGAAACGGGAAGAGCCCAAACCAACAAGCUUGCUUGUUGGGGUUGUAGGACACUCUAUACGGAGUUACAAAAGAACAUGUUAGACGAAUCAUCUGGAAAGAUGAAUCAAAGAAGGUAAUAAUCCUGUAGUCGAAAACAUAUUCUCUCUUGAGUGGAUCCUGAGUACGACGGAGCACGUGAAAUUCCGUCGGAAUCUAGGAGGACCAUCUCCUAAGGCUAAAUACUCUCUAGUGACCGAUAGUGAACCAGUACCGUGAGGGAAAGGUGAAAAGUACCCCGGAAGGGGAGUGAAAGAGAACUUGAAACCGUGUGCUUACAAGUAGUCAGAGCCCGUUUAUGGGUGAUGGCGUGCCUUUUGUAGAAUGAACCGGCGAGUUACGAUCUGAUGCAAGGUUAAGCAGCGAAUGUGGAGCCGUAGCGAAAGCGAGUCUGAAUAGGGCGUUGAGUAUUUGGUCGUAGACCCGAAACCAGGUGAUCUACCCUUGGUCAGGUUGAAGUUCAGGUAACACUGAAUGGAGGACCGAACCGACUUACGUUGAAAAGUGAGCGGAUGAACUGAGGGUAGCGGAGAAAUUCCAAUCGAACUUGGAGAUAGCUGGUUCUCUCCGAAAUAGCUUUAGGGCUAGCCUCAAGUGAUGAUUAUUGGAGGUAGAGCACUGUUUGGACGAGGGGCCCCUCUCGGGUUACCGAAUUCAGACAAACUCCGAAUGCCAAUCAAUUUAACUUGGGAGUCAGAACAUGGGUGAUAAGGUCCGUGUUCGAAAGGGAAACAGCCCAGACCACCAGCUAAGGUCCCAAAAUAUAUGUUAAGUGGAAAAGGAUGUGGCGUUGCCCAGACAACUAGGAUGUUGGCUUAGAAGCAGCCAUCAUUUAAAGAGUGCGUAAUAGCUCACUAGUCGAGUGACACUGCGCCGAAAAUGUACCGGGGCUAAACAUAUUACCGAAGCUGUGGAUUGUCCUUCGGACAAUGGUAGGAGAGCGUUCUAAGGGCGUUGAAGCAUGAUCGCAAGGACAUGUGGAGCGCUUAGAAGUGAGAAUGCCGGUGUGAGUAGCGAAAGACGGGUGAGAAUCCCGUCCACCGAUUGACUAAGGUUUCCAGAGGAAGGCUCGUCCGCUCUGGGUUAGUCGGGUCCUAAGCUGAGGCCGACAGGCGUAGGCGAUGGAUAACAGGUUGAUAUUCCUGUACCACCUA
Molecule: ribosomal RNA, 1380 nt
Filed under: Staphylococcus capitis
Lineage: Bacteria; Bacillati; Bacillota; Bacilli; Caryophanales; Staphylococcaceae
Description: partial 23S ribosomal RNA
Rfam family: Bacterial large subunit ribosomal RNA
Source: RNAcentral